Molecule: ribosomal RNA, 268 nt
Filed under: uncultured bacterium
Lineage: Bacteria
Description: partial 16S ribosomal RNA
Rfam family: Bacterial small subunit ribosomal RNA
Source: RNAcentral
UACGGAGGGUGCAAGCGUUAAUCGGAUUUACUGGGCGUAAACGUGCGUAGGUGGUUUGUUAAGUCAGUUGUGAAAUCCCAGGCUCAACCUUGAAUUGCAUCUGAUACUGGCAGACUAGAGAUGGUAGAGGUUAGUGGAAUUCCAGGUGUAGCGGUGAAAUGCGUAGAUAUCGGAGAACAUCGAUGGCGAAGGCAACUGACUGGGCCUGAUCUGACACUGAGGUACGAAAAGCGUGGGGAGCAAACAGGAUUAGAUACCCGGGUAGUCC